CUUUCAUGUUAGUCAGUUUUAAUUAGCUCCAAUUAAGUUUCUAUUAUGCAAACAGCUUCAAUACAUUUAUUCAAGGAUCCCAUGUUUAAAAUACUGAUAAACAGAGCCCAACAAAUAUCAGAUUAAGAAAAAUACAGUUCCAGAUUCAGUCUAGCUUGAAAUUGCUGUAAACUAUAUGAGAGCAAACUGUGAAUUUAGGUGAUGUGUCAUGAACACAAAGAGGUUCUGUCCUACAGAGGACUUGUUGUCUACAGGACUACUGAAAGAACCUGUACUAGUAUUAAUCUGAGUUGAUUCAGUAUAGGUGGCUAUUAAAGGCAAUGUGAACCCCCAAACCAGCUGCUACAAAUUGUUGCAUGAUGGUCAUCCUCAGCUGUUGUUCUCUCUCCCUCGAGCCAUGCCCCAAGUUGUAUUGGAGCUGGAGUGGCCAUGUGCUGAGAUGCUGGGAGGAGAGACCCUGCAGCACAGGGAGUACAUGACUCUUCAAAGAAAUUGCCUAAGGAGAAGAAAAGAGACAGCAAAAUACGAUGAUCAGCAAGUUAAUCACAAUAUUAGAAGUGCUCCAGCAUGCAGGUAACCUCUCACUGAGCAGCACCUGAGGCAACACUGGAACAAUUCUGUCAACCACCGAUGAAUUUUAGAAAGUUACAUGAUCAUACCUGCACUGUUUAAAGUUCUCCUGCGUGAUCUGGAACAAGAAAACAUCACAAAUAUCAGCACAGUAUAAUAAAUACCAAAAUAAAUGUGAAUACUAAAAGUCA
This 761-nucleotide long non-coding RNA is filed under the name Anser brachyrhynchus (Pink-footed goose). RNAcentral's name for it is "lncRNA (ENSABRG00000004779.1)". The record is from RNAcentral. Lineage: Eukaryota; Metazoa; Chordata; Aves; Anseriformes; Anatidae.